UUAAUCCUAUGAAUAACCAGCUUUUUUAUUUCUUGCUUUUGUCAUUGGACAAAAAAACUGACUUGGAAAAAACUAACCAGCUCUUUUCUUUCCUUGUGUCGUUGGACUUGGAAAAAACUUUCCAUUUACCUUGGAGCAAAUUGUAUUCUUAAUUUGAUCUUUCUUUCCUUCUUUCAAGGCAAAUCACGCUAGACUUUCCAAGUUUUUUUGGAUGAAGUUCUUCAAUCAACCAAGUUCUUUGAAGAGAUUAUUAGAUUGGAGAACUUGUUUUUGUGAAUUUGUAGGAGGUUUGGUGUAAGUGGGAAAGAUCAGUGUACACUGGAGGACUUGUGUUUUGUGAAUUUUUUUGAAGAAAGUGUUUUGGAAAUUUGUGAAGGUUAAGAGUAAAUGGGAAAGAUAAGCGAAAAA
This is a long non-coding RNA of Rhododendron vialii, 408 nucleotides long. RefSeq lists it as uncharacterized. The record is from RefSeq and is a predicted model, not a curated record. The transcript is spliced from 2 exons. Lineage: Eukaryota; Viridiplantae; Streptophyta; Magnoliopsida; Ericales; Ericaceae.